This 166-nucleotide non-coding RNA is filed under the name Aminomonas paucivorans. Lineage: Bacteria; Thermotogati; Synergistota; Synergistia; Synergistales; Synergistaceae. The record is from RNAcentral.
UGCAAUCCAACUCGUUCGGGUGCUCGGGAAGACCGGUGAAACUCCGGAGCGGACCCGCCACUGUGACCCUGACGAACCUGCCGCGACAUCCACUGGACCUCGAUCCGGGAAGGAGCAGGGGAGGAAGAAGGGAAGCCAGGAGACCGGCCCGGUGCGAGGGAGAGUC